GUGGUUAGCUGGUUGUGGAAAUUGACUCACGGCCUCUAACCAUACUACCCUUGUGACUGUCGCGAUCACAUCAAUCUUCAUUACUAGGAUUCAGAGAAUUGUAAUAUUUUUAGCCAGUAAUUCCUAGAAUAAUUUAUUCUCCCGCAUUUUUUAUUGUUUCUGGUUAAUGGCAGUGUUCAAGGUUAAACAAACACAAAUUAGAAUUGCAUUAGUCAUAGAUUUAAAGGCUGUGUGUUUGUGUAGUUUCAGUGAACUUGUUUUUACAAAAGUCCUUGGUGCAUAGCAUAAAUAUUGACUUCUAAUUUUAAUGUUACCUAUUCUUACUAAACUAAUAUGUGCAUCUUUCAUUUUUUCAGGGCUGCGUAUGUUUCUUUCGGCGGACUAUUGAUGCGAUUGCAAGGUGAUGCCAACAAUCUACACGGAUUCGAAGUUGACCAACAUAUGUAUCUUCUAAUGAAGAAAUUAGCUUUUUAAAGGAGCAGUGGGGACUUUGUACUACAUUAACUUGAAAAAAAUCCAUCUCAUGCAGUUGUAAUUGCACCAAAAUACAAGAUGAAUGUGUAACUUUUUGCGUCUUUGUUAAGUAUCUGUUCAUAAAUUGUCUAUAAAUAAUGAGUGUAUGAACUCCUACUGCCAUUUACAUUUACAGUAACAUCAUGACUUAGACCGGGAGAUGGUGACACUUUUUCUGGUGUGAUUUGCUACAAGUAUGGCGACCAUUCAAAGGUUAAAUUAAGUACUCCUCAAAUCGAAAAUGGUGCUAACUCCCUGGGAGUGGGGACAUGUCGGAAAAUUUAAUGAUUUUGGACAAUUUGCUACACAAUAUUCUUUGGAUUUUCUGCUAGUCGGUGACUAAACAAAUGGCGGAAACUAAAUGCCAUACUUUUCCGGUGGGUCUUAUAGCCCGCCAUACUAAUUUGAACGUGUCGAUUGUUUUUUUUGAGUGAUUGGAUAAAAGCUAAAAAAAAUUUUUUAACAAGUGCUUAUUUGAUUUUCAUGAUUUCCUUGUUCAUUUUUAACCAUGAAUAUGUAAUGUAUAACAGAUUUUCGAGUAUGGCGCUAUUUUUGGCCUUCAUGACGAGUAUGGCAUAUACAGGGUGUUUUUUUUAAGAUGGGCCAUACGACAAUGUAAAGGCGUUGAGUUAUUUAAAAUGGGCCAUAGGGAAAUUUACAUUGCGCCAAUUGUUCUCAAAUCUUGGCCUUGCGCUUAGUUAUUUCACUGACGGUUCUCAAUCUGAUCCUUCAAACUGCAUCAACGAAGCAGCAACUUGUAUUCCGCCGCUCGAAAAGGUGUUCAUGUAGUACAAUUUGUACAAGAGUGGGCACAGUAUAGCUGAGUGGUAUGCGAGCUAUUCAGUGCCGAGUAUCGGGUAUUGUUUGGUAGAAAACAAUUCGAGCACCGAUUGUAAUUUUAUAUGUUUAUAUCUCAUUUGAAUAAAUUUGUUGAUUUAGAAACAAUUUCUACAGUACUGUGGCAGAUGAUUCGCUAGGAAGCUAUGACUGAAACAAUUGAUGCAAUGUAAAUUUCCCUAUGGCCCAUUUGAAAUAACUCGACGCCUUUACAUUGUCCUAUGGCCCAUCUUUAAAAAAACACCAUGUAUAUCAUGGAUCAAAUUGGAGCAUGAAUUUUCGGAAAAUCCAAAUGCCAUACUGUAGCACAUCGCCCAAAAUUAUUAACAAAAAAUGACAUCUUUAUGGCGGUUAUGCGGGCCCGCCUGAACGUUAUGGCAGUAUCACUUUCGUGAAUGACUGACUGAGGACUGAUGGUUUAGCCAUAUGCUUGCAACAAAAAUUCCAACACUUGUGUACAGUUUUUGGGCUUGGCUACAGCUCAGAACUGCGAUGGUGGUGAGGGUGGAACAGUUUCAACUCCUGAUGUUUUUAUGGUAACCAAUAAAAGUGGACUAAUCAAGUUCUUAAUCAUUCCCCUCUGUGACAUAAUGAAAUCGUUCAAAUUCCUACUACGAAAUUGCUCACUGCAUUAAACAAACUAGAGUCAAGUUCAACCUCGAAGCUAUGAAUACAGUACUUCAUGAUUUAACCAUUGGGUCUUAAUGCUAGUUAUGAAGAUCCAGUGUGGCUUCAACCAUGUCCAAGGCAUAUAUACAGUAUUACCGCAAUAACAAUUCUUUCACUAUUGUGGCCUUGAGAUUUCAACAUUUCAAUUUGCAUGAUAUUCAGAAAUGUCCAAGCCUUGGAGUGGAGAAAUCCCUAAAAGGAAACAUCAAAGGCCUUUGCAUAACCCGAAAGUGACAGUUUGGGCUGCAAUGUCGGCAUUCGAAAAUCGGCCUGGUUUUUCUGAAGACCGCCAAGUAACCGCGCAGUAACGGUAAAUUCGCAGCGUUAUGUCAACAUGAUUGAAAAUUGUUUUUCUCCUGUUCUCCAAGAAUUUGAAGGAUAUAAUCCGAACACUUGGUUGCAGCAGGAAGGACCCACCUGUCAAACUUCUAAUUUUCCCAGAAAAAUUAAUUUGACUCCCCGCCAUUUUUUUUAUGGGACUAGUGUACCGUAACCACCCGGCCACUCUGGAGAACCUAAAGAACAAUACUGUGAAGAAAUGGAAGCCAUAACUACAAAGACCUGCCACCGCAUUUUGUAAAAUUUCAUGAGUUAUGCCUUCAGGAAGGCCAGGACAUCAAUGGCGCACAUUUAGACAAUGUAAUCUUGAAAACGUAAAUUUCCAUGAAUGUGCGUAAAUUUUAAAAUAAAUGUAAUAUGGGACUGUC
Photinus pyralis (common eastern firefly) is the source of this 2726-nucleotide long non-coding RNA. RefSeq lists it as uncharacterized. NCBI's taxonomy places the organism in Eukaryota, Metazoa, Arthropoda, Insecta, Coleoptera, Lampyridae. The transcript is spliced from 2 exons. The record is from RefSeq and is a predicted model, not a curated record.